Molecule: long non-coding RNA, 1703 nt
Organism: Xiphophorus couchianus (Monterrey platyfish)
Lineage: Eukaryota; Metazoa; Chordata; Actinopteri; Cyprinodontiformes; Poeciliidae
Exons: 2
Source: RefSeq, a predicted model, not a curated record
GGUCAUGACCUGGUUUAUGCAGUAGAGUUUUAAAAACAGUGAAAGUUAAGAAAGUCUGAAAGUUUGAAUAAAAUUUAAAAAAUAAAUAAUAUUAAAACUGUAUGUUCACAUUGUGCUAGUAUAGCAUCAUAAAAAUACCCUGUAUAGUAUAAAAUUACAAGAAGAACAAUUUAAUUGAUGGAUUGUGUUUAUACAACAAUAGUAAUUGAAAACAAGACCAUGAGUCAACCUUUGAGAAGGGUUCACUGUGGUGCAUCUACUCCAGCUCCUUAAGGGAAAGCUUUCCAUCUUUACACAGUUGGAUGAUUUGCUCAACCCCCCCAACCCUAUAACCACCGAGGAUCCUACGGACUGAGCAAGCCAGGAUGAUAACAGUCCUGUGGGCAAAUGGGAACAAUGAAAACAAAGACAGUGCGUCUUUUUGUCCGCCCACAAACACGAUCUUGCCUCGAGCUGCUCUCCCUCCACCAUCCGUAUCCCAACAUGGCCUCUGACCUUAAUGUGGCGAGCAGAAUGGCUGGCAGCUUGUCCACAGCACGGUGGAGCGUGAAGCACGCAAUACGUCAUUACCGAGAUGCUGAGUUUCAGACUGUCAACAGGCAUCAAACCCGACAAUGCCUUGAUUACAAUUUUCCAUCUUGAGCCGUCCGCAGGAUGCUGCGGGCGGCUCUCUAACACGCCGCUGCAUUCUAUUUCCUGCAUUGCUCAUGUGAUCAGUUUAUUUGAAAUAAACCCAGCAUAAAGCUGAUUAUUCGACAUGUUAAUUCAGGAAGAAAAAGCUCAAAUAAAUCUAAUAAUUUAGUUUCCACUUGCAGACAAGGAAAUGAAACACUCUGCUUGCACCAUUUGCCCCUUGGGUCACAUUUAUUUAUAAAAAGGAUGCAUUUCCUUUUCUUUUUGUUCCUCCUCAGGCUGAGCUUACCUCUCUUUCAGCUUAUGCCUCAGCUGACCGUCAAACGGGGAGCUUUACCCCUGACCGGCUACGUGGUCAACCCAUUUACAACCUGAGCCCCGCAGCCGCCCUAAUGCAGAGAGCAACACUUCUUUGAGAUUUGUUUUCUUUACAGGAGGAGAAUUUUGUGCAAAUGCUUCAGGAGCAAGGUAACAACAAGCAGCAUCACUUUCCCAAUUUUUACGCUGCAUUUGUUCAUUUCUCUACUGGCAAUCCAACUUGAAGCUAUAACCACCAUCAUCUCUGAGCUUUUCUCUGGUUUCACCUCAGCAGACUCUCCAUCUGUGAGGCCCCAAGUCCCACACUGUGCGCCGGCAUGCCUGGGACGCUCACUUGGUCGCAUCUCCCAUCUAAAUAAUUCUGUCUUCAUUUGUCAAACUUGUCUCUCCCGCCUGCGUCUGGGACCGACGCUUAGGUGUGGAAGGUCCUGUCACGGCUCACGCGUCUCGGCACACAUGCAUGCGCGCCGUGUGUGGUUGAUAGAGAUGAAUGCCUUGUGCAUUUGAGCGUUCUCCAAAGUGAGUGCGCUUGACAGACAGUCAAUCAGCCUGUGAUGAGAGGCAAUCCCCACCAUGGACGGAUCAAUUAGUUACUUUCUUAGAAGACAAGCAGAAGAAAAACACCAGUGUUCUCCAGGGAGGGAGGCGAAGAUCCAACCGAUCGAGGCAGAUUAAUGGCAUGAGAGCGCAGCCAGUGAGAAAAGAGAUCUCCACUUGGCUGGAUUAUUUAUGCCGGACUUUGCAGAGAGAGA